Molecule: long non-coding RNA, 1817 nt
Filed under: Prunus dulcis (almond)
Lineage: Eukaryota; Viridiplantae; Streptophyta; Magnoliopsida; Rosales; Rosaceae
Description: sRNA ncRNA
Source: RNAcentral
CGGAGCUUCACAGUGGCUCAGAGCUUCCCCAAUUAAGCAAAGAAAAAAAUUCAUAGAAUCUCUCUGUGCAAGAACUUCGGAAGACAAAAAAAUGGAUGCCGAAACCGAACAAAUGAUCGAAAAAACGGUGCGUGGAAUCCUGGAAAAAUCGGACAUGGACGAGAUGACAGAGUUCAAGAUUCGAAAGCGGGCCUCUGAAGUGCUCGACCUCGACCUCUCUAAACCCCCCUAUAAGGCGCUCGUCAAACGGGUCGUCCAGUCCUUCCUCGAAGAGCAAAAUCAAAAGGAACAACAACAACAAGAAGUAGAAGAAGAUGAAAACCCGAAACUUGGUGAUGCCCAGGACCAGGAGUAUGAUGAUAAUGGCGAUCUCGUCAUUUGCAGGGUCAGAGUUCCUCUUCACUCUGUUUGUUUCCCGAGAAAAAGAAAAAAAAAAAAACCCAUGAGAUGAAGAAUGAGUGUGUUUCUUUUUUUUGGGUUCACCUUAAUUUUGUACUUACUUGUUGGGUCUUUUUGGGAUUUGGGGUUUGGUUGUGAUGCAGCUUUCAUCGAAGAGGAAGGUGACACUUCAAGAAUUCAGAGGGAAAUCAUUGGUGUCUAUAAGGGAGUUUUAUAGUAAAGAUGGCAAAGAGCUUCCUACUACCAAAGGUAAUCUAUUUAUGUCCUAUUUGAACACCUCCCUAGUCCUAUGGCAUGUUAAUUUAUCAAUUUAUGCAUGUAUAUAAGGCAUUGAUUUAAGCUUGCAGCUUCAAUUGCUUACAUUAGAUUUGUCUGUGACAGUUUGCUUACCUAUUAUUAACAGCUUUUUCUGGUAUAUGAGAGUUUGUGAUCAAAUAUAUGUAUGCAUGUAUGUCAGGCAAUUAUCUAAUUUAGCUGCAACUUCUGAUUAUAGAGCUCACUUACUAUUGCAUUUGCCUUGAUUUGGAAAUGGUUGAUGCCAUCACUGUCAUAUAAUAUUUUAAGUGCCAUGUCGGGUGUCAUAAGCUUUUGUUCAAUUUUUACAUUACUUGCUUUCCCUGGGUUGUAGUUUGCUUACACAAUCUGACUGCCUCAUCAUGAUUGUGUUCAUUCAAAACAUCUAAGUUAUGGGUUAGCUUGUCAUCUUGGCGUCGUAAACCACCAACGCAGAUUUCUCAACUUCGUUUUCUGCAUUGUUGUUUACAUUCAGUGCUGCUAACUCAGAAUUGUCCUUCUUUUUCCCUUUCUCCGUUACUUACCUUUUAUAAUCCCAAGAGGCCCUUUUAGCAAAAUUGAGCUAGAGAUUCCUUGUUUCUAGCUUUUGUAUACUUGAUCUUUCGGAUGCAUGUACUGAUGACUGUCUUAAGCUUAUUUAUGGUUGUAUUUGCUUAAAUCUUUGUCCUACAGGAAUAAGUUUGACAGAGGAGCAAUGGGCAGUCUUCAAGAAGAAUGUACCUGCGAUAGAGAACGCCAUCAGUAAGAUGGAGUCAAGGAUCUGAAAUUUUCGGAAUGUCUUAUCCUUUUCAACCUCCAUUACCUUGUCGGUUGUACUGGCUUCAGCUUUAGGGCUUCAUAUUGGUCUCUUGAUGGCAGAAUAUUUUCUUUGGAACAUGAAAACUGCGGUGAUUUUUCUAAUUAGCCCUUAAUGUUAGAAGUCAACUUGUUGUGUUAUCUGUUACAAAUUAACACGUUCAUACGAGAUGUUGUCAUAUUCAGUUUUUAGAAGGAAACAAAUAAAAUAGAAAUGGAUGAUCCUUACCAUAAUCCUUCAUCUUUGAAGAGAGAUUCUUGUUUGUGUUUACUGCACCGUCGGGUUAUGGAUUGUACAAUACAAACUCCUUUUUAUCUUAGUAUUCCAG